UCAAACGCACGACGUUGAACGUUCUAGUCCCGCUCCCUACUCGCUGCGCCACGCUAGCUACUUGAGCUUCGCUCCUACUUAAACGGUACUCUAAACGCACGGAAAACUUUCAACUGCGGUUUCUCGUAAAUUAGUGCUCAUUGGCAACAGUUAUACGAGCUGCUUUUACAGGAAAGAGAUUACUACAACAUAUAUAAAGAUUAGCAAAAUCUAAGGCGGCGCUUUUGGACAGUCUCCUUGUUAGCUGACGAUUGUCAGUGACGACCGCUGUCACACGGAUAAACGGAACGUCUCUGUGUGCGUAAGUGCAGGGAGAAAAAUGCUUGCGUGUCCGGGCUCGCGAGUAUAGGAAAGGAACAUUUGAUGUUCAACGCUCGCCCCAGUCGGAUCAAGAUAAAUCAACGAUGACAACGUUGGCGACAACGACGGCGGCGUCGGCGACAAGCGACACGAUUACGAUGCAU
Odontomachus brunneus is the source of this 464-nucleotide long non-coding RNA. RefSeq lists it as uncharacterized. The record is from RefSeq and is a predicted model, not a curated record. The transcript has 2 exons. NCBI's taxonomy places the organism in Eukaryota, Metazoa, Arthropoda, Insecta, Hymenoptera, Formicidae.